CGGGGAGUGGCUCAGCUUGGUAGAGCGUGUGGUUUGGGACCACAAGGUCGGAGGUUCAAAUCCUCUCUCCCCGACCA
This 77-nucleotide transfer RNA is filed under the name Caldisericia bacterium. RNAcentral's name for it is "tRNA-Pro". It matches the Rfam family "tRNA". Rfam says of the family: Transfer RNA (tRNA) molecules are approximately 80 nucleotides in length. Their secondary structure includes four short double-helical elements and three loops (D, anti-codon, and T loops). Lineage: Bacteria; Pseudomonadati; Caldisericota; Caldisericia. The record is from RNAcentral.